This 365-nucleotide ribosomal RNA is filed under the name Paraphysomonas bandaiensis. RNAcentral describes it as "partial Bacterial large subunit ribosomal RNA". It matches the Rfam family "Bacterial large subunit ribosomal RNA", at positions 174 to 492 of the family's 2925-position model. Lineage: Eukaryota; Chrysophyceae; Chromulinales; Paraphysomonadaceae. The record is from RNAcentral.
UGGGGGUUUACGCGGGGAAGUGAAACAUCUCAGUACCCGUAGGAGAAGAAAACAAUUGUGAUUCCGUUAGUAGUGGCGAGCGAACGUGGAUGAUGGCUAAAACUUAUGUGUGUGAUACCCGGCAGGGGUUGCAUGUAGGUGGUUGUGGGGCAAUGACGUUCAUAUUCUGCCGGAUGUGGGCAUGUGCUGCGUGGUUAGUGGAAGUGGUGUGGAAACACCUGCCGUAGAAGGUGAGAGUCCUGUACACGAAGAUCAUGGUGGUGUGUGUGGUUGUUGAUACCCCGAGUAGCAGCGGGCUCGUGGAAUCUGCUGUGAAUUAGCCGGGACCACCCGGUAAGCCUGAAUACUUGAUAUGACCGAUAGCG